UCUGGGAUAGCUCAGUUGGUAGAGCAUGAGAUUCUUAAUCUCAGGGUUGUUCAAGACCCACCUUGCCCAAAG
Non-coding RNA from Podarcis lilfordi (Lilford's wall lizard), 72 nucleotides. The record is from the annotation of a GenBank genome assembly. Lineage: Eukaryota; Metazoa; Chordata; Lepidosauria; Squamata; Lacertidae.